RNAcentral lists this long non-coding RNA (5559 nucleotides) under Manihot esculenta (cassava). RNAcentral describes it as "long non-coding RNA (MESC_LNC006240)". Lineage: Eukaryota; Viridiplantae; Streptophyta; Magnoliopsida; Malpighiales; Euphorbiaceae. The record is from RNAcentral.
AAGGCUGUACGGCCUAUCUAGCCAGUGUGAUUGAAACUAAGAAGGAAGGUCUUAGUGUGUCAAACCUACCCACAGUGUGUGAUUUUCCAGAUGUAUUUCCUGAAGAGUUGCCAGGGUUACCUCCAGAAAGGGAAGUGGAUUUUGCUAUAGAAGUUGUGCCAGGCACUGCACCUAUUUCAAUUGCUCCUUACAGAAUGGCUCCUACAGAAUUGAAAGAGUUGAAAAUACAGUUACAAGAGUUACUUGAUAAGGGCUUUAUUCGACCUAGUGUUUCACCAUGGGGUGCACCAGUGUUGUUUGUGAAAAAGAAAGAUGGAUCUCUUCGAUUGUGCAUUGAUUACAGACAAUUGAAUAAGGUAACUAUAAAGAAUAAAUAUCCACUGCCCAGAAUAGAUGAUUUGUUUGAUCAGUUAAAAGGGGCCAGCAUUUUCUCUAAGAUAGAUUUGAGAUCGGGCUACCAUCAGUUGAGAGUUAAAGGGACAGAUGUGCCUAAGACUGCAUUCAGAACACGAUAUGGACAUUAUGAGUUUCUGGUUAUGCCAUUUGGGUUAACAAAUGCACCUGCAUCAUUCAUGGAUCUAAUGAAUCGUAUCUUCCAUCCAUAUUUAGACCAGUUUGUUGUAGUAUUCAUUGAUGAUAUUCUGGUAUACUCUAAAACUAGAGAAGACCAUGACAGACAUUUGAGGAUAGUAUUACAGACUCUGAGGGAAAAACAACUUUAUGCUAAGUUCAGUAAAUGUGAUUUUUGGCUCAAUGAAAUAGCAUUUUUGGGACAUGUUGUAUCAGCAGAGGGAGUUAGGGUAGAUCCUCAGAAGAUUAAAGCUGUUCUGGAAUGGAAGCCACCAAAGAAUGUUGCAGAGGUCAGGAGUUUCUUGGGUCUAGCUGGGUAUUACAGACGGUUUGUAAAAGGGUUUUCACUUAUAGCAGCUCCAUUGACUAAAUUACUACAUAAGAAUGUUAAGUAUGUUUGGGAUGAUAGAUGUCAGGCAAGCUUUGACAGAUUGAAGACUAUGCUCACCGAAGCACCUAUACUUACACAACCUAUUUCUGGCAAGGAAUUUGUGAUAUACAGUGAUGCUUCUCACAAUGGACUUGGAUGUGUUUUGAUGCAAGAAGGUAAAGUGAUUGCUUAUGCUUCUAGACAACUGAAGCCACAUGAGAAGAACUAUCCUACUCAUGAUCUAGAGCUGGCUGUCAUAGUUUUUGCACUAAAGAUCUGGAGACAUUACUUAUAUGGUGAGAAAUGUUAUAUCUAUACAGAUCAUAAAAGCCUGAAAUACUUGCCCACACAGAAGGAGCUAAACUUGAGACAGCGAAGAUGGAUGGAAUUACUGAAAGAUUAUGAUUGCAUUAUAGAUUAUCACCCAGGCAAAGCUAAUCUGGUAGCAGAUGCACUUAGCAGGAAAUCCUUAUUUGCAUUAAGAGCGAUGAAUGCGCGGUUGACUAUGUCAGAUGAUGGAGCUAUCAUAGCAGAAUUGAAAGUUAGACCCAGCCUACUACAACAAAUUAAAGAAGCACAAAAAGAAGAUACAGAGAUAGCUUCAUGGACUAGACAAGUACAAGAGGGAAAGAAGCAGAAGCAUGUGAUAAGUGAUGAUGGCUACUUGUACUAUGGUGACAGAAUAUGUGUACCUAACAUUGGAGAGCUGAAACAGAGUAUUCUUACAGAGGCACACAACAGUCCAUAUGUUAUGCAUCCAGGUAGCACAAAGAUGUAUCAAGAUCUGAAGAUGCACUAUUGGUGGCCAGGCAUGAAAAGAGAUAUAGUUGAAUUUGUAACAAAAUGUUUGACAUGUCAACGGGUAAAAGCAGAACAUCAGGUUCCAUCAGGGUUGUUGCAGCCUAUCGCUAUACCAGAAUGGAAAUGGGAUAGAAUUACCAUGGAUUUUGUAACAGGAUUGCCUCUCACACCAAGGAAGAAAGAUGCCAUUUGGGUAAUAGUUGACAAGUUAACUAAAUCAGCGCAUUUCUUGCCAAUCAGAAUGGAUUAUACAUUAGAAAAGUAUGUAGAAUUAUACAUUAAUGAAAUUGUGAGACUGCAUGGUGUUCCUAUCUCUAUCAUAUCAGACAGAGAUCCAAGAUUCACAUCCAGAUUUUGGGAAAAACUACAUGAAGCUCUAGGGACAAGAUUGAAUUUUAGUACAGCUUUUCAUCCUCAGACAGAUGGCCAGUCAGAGAGAGUAAUUCAAGUUUUGGAAGAUAUGCUCAGAAGUUGUGUAAUUGAAUUUGAAGGAAGCUGGGAAAGAUAUCUCCCACUAGUAGAAUUUGCUUACAACAAUAGUUAUCAGGCUAGUAUUAAAAUGGCUCCCUAUGAAGCAUUGUAUGGCAGAAAAUGUAGAACCCCAUUGUGCUGGACAGAACUCAGUGAAGCUAAACUUGUAGGUCCAGAGUUGAUAAGACAGACUGAGGAGAAAGUGAAGAUUAUCAAAGAAAGAUUGAAAGCUGCAACAGAUAGGCAAAAAUCAUAUGCAGAUUUGAAAAGAAAAGAUAUAGAAUUUGCUAUUGGGGAUAAAGUGUUUUUGAAAGUUUCUCCAUGGAAGAAAGUGCUAAGAUUUGGCAAGAAAGGUAAGCUAAGCCCUCGGUUUAUUGGUCCAUAUGAUGUAAUUGAGCGUGUGGGUCCAGUAGCCUACAGGCUAGCUUUACCUCCAGAGUUAGACAGAAUACAUAAUGUCUUCCAUGUAUCCAUGCUAAGAAGAUACAGAUCUGACCCAUCACAUGUCAUUCCAGUUGAAACCAUUGAUGUACAGUCUGACCUGACUUAUGAAGAAGAACCAGUGAAAAUUUUAGCAAGGGAAAUAAAAGAGUUAAGGAAUAAGAAGAUUCCCUUAGUGAAAGUGUUGUGGAGAAAUCACAAGGCAGAAGAAGCUACAUGGGAGAGUGAAGAGGUGAUGAAGCAACAAUAUCCACAGCUAUUCAAAGCAGGUAAAAUUUCGAGGACGAAAUUUCCUAAGAGGGGAAGAGUUGUAACAUCCUCAAACCCAUAGCUAGAGCAGUGACAUCAUUAGGUAUGAGUUAGGCUAUUUCACUACUAGAGUAAGUGGCAUUAGGGGAGGUGCUAGCUUAACUCUAAACUGCUAAUAACUGAAUCAUAGAAAACUCAAAUAAAGAAACGGAUAUAUCUAGAAAUAAAGCAGACAGUGUGAUUAGCGAGUCGGGAAUGAGUCACGUUCGGGAGGUGCUUAGGGUUUCCCGACGUGCUUGCUUGAGGUGCUUGUUUAAGUCUGUUAUGCUAGCUUAAGUGAAAAGGACUUCUAAAUGCUAAAAGCAUAUUUUAGUAGGUCAAUCUAUGAUUAUGGAAAGUUUAAAAACUAAAUUGAAACAUGGUAAAGAGUUUAGUGGGUUAAAGUAUAAAUAUGGAAAGUUAAAACAUAAAAGUCAAAUUUUACUUUCCAUGUGUCACCUAGCUAAUGGAUGAAGAAAUGACCAAGCAAAUUAAAAGGUGGGUUGUCUUCUUCCUUCAUCCACAUUGCCGUAGGUCAUCCAUGUUCAAAGAAGAAGAAAUUUUGCUUUUCUUUCUCCCACCAAAACCAAGCCAAAACCUCACCAAAUCAAUUUCUUCCUUCAACCAAAAUUCAUCCUAAGACCUAGAUCUAAAGGAAGAGCCAUAUAUUGAAGGGAUUGAAGAAGAAAAGUUUAGGGUUCCAUAUACACCAAGCUUGAAAAUCAAAGGUAAGCUUAGAAAUGUGUAGGAAAUAACAUCUUCUCAUUUCUUUAUGCAUGGAUUUGAAUUAUAAAGCUUUAAUUUAUAGUUUAUUCAAUCCUUUCCUAAGACAUAAAUUGACCUAGGUGAAGGAACAUCAAAGGGAAAGGAGAUAGCUAGAGAUUAGAAGAGGAAAAGAAAGGAGAAAUUCAAGAAAGGUUUGGUGUUUGUAUGAUUUCCUGUUUUCUUUUGAUUUUUGCCAUGAACAAGUGAGAUUAGAGGUUGAUUUUACUUGCUGGAAAUGUUGCUUUGGUUGUAUAAAUAUGUUAUAUGAAUGUUUAAAUGAUGUUUUAAAGGCUUAGAGUAAAGAAAUUUAACAUGAGAGCUAAAAGUGCAAAUCUGGCAGAAUAGGUUCUAACAGGACAGUCAGUGUUGGAAGCCUUCUAACUUAUUGUGUAUUUAUUGAAAUUAGUCAUAAGAUAUACCAAAUGAAAGCUGAGACAAAGAGCUAAAACUUUCAUGAAUUGACCAAAUUCGAAAUCUGUAGAGAAGAUGAUGAAAAUUUUAAGUGAACCUAAACUGGACACAGAGUUAGUGCAUCCGGAACAGUGUGUAUUGAUUAUACCAUAACUAACUAUGUACUCAGUGGAAUUGGUUAAUACCAGUGCCAAUUGAAUUUUAAGAAGUAUACCUAACACUUUGUAGGAGACACUUAAGCUUGAAUAUGUAUGAAAAUGCAUGAAUUUGAUAUGUUUUGUGAUAUUAUAAACAAAUGCCAAUAUUGGACUGGUUAAGAUCUUAUUGAGCAGCUUGUAAAGAAAAAUUCAUAACUUAAGCUAGAAUGAUCAGAUUUGCAUGAAUUAUACCUUGUUGGAAAGAUAAGACAUAGAGGUACAUUUGUUAUGAAGAAACUGAAGUCAGAUUGUGACUUUAAGCUGCUUGAAAAGUUUAUGCAAUAUAUGGCAGAAUGCAAUUUCCUAUAUUGGAAUGCAAAGUCAAUAAAGUUUUGCACCAUUUGCUAUGAAUUUCUCAUCUUGUUGACUUUGACAUAUGAUAUAUAUGUACUUUGGAAAUGAAUUCAAAUAGCUUCAAAUGAUAUGCAAUUACAUUGAGUUAAUGAUACUUGGCCCUGGUAAACGUAAUAGGAAUCGAGGUUAGCUUAAGGGUAUGGCAUGCCAUAUAAACAUACAGAGUUCGCAGUACUGCUACCGAUACAUGAUUUUUAUUUGAGGUUACAUAUCAGGUACCUCAUAAGCACGGUCACAGAGCCCUGCUAUCACAGUUCUGGCCUCUGAGCCUACCGUUCGGCACUCUGUGCCUACCGUUAUAACUCCUUAUCUACCUAGUCGAUCCUACUAUGUGUUUAUAAGGGCUAAGAUCUUAAUUAAGAUUGAUACUUGAUUUUGUGAACUUAUUAGUGAGUGUUAAUAUGUUUGCAUCUCUUAUAUGCACUAAGCUGUGGUAAUUUGUUAUAAAUAGAAAAUGUGCAAUAACGGAAAAAGAAGAUGUUUUUAUUCCGAUUAUCUGUAUACGUGAACUUGUUUGCUCUAUUUCGUUAUUUGUUUGUUAUCACCCACUGAGCAUUAGCUCAGCGUGUUGGUUUUUACCUCACGCAGGUUGUAGAUAAAAUAGAGGCAACAGAAGUUAUCAGAGAUCUACAUCAGAUAUCAAGGCCAUCAUCAUAGCUGGUUGUUUUGAGUCUCUGAGUCAUAGUGCAGCUAUAUUUUGGCAUGUACAUAUUUAAUAGAAUGAGUUGUAAAGGUUAUGUAAUCAACGAAUAGUAAGAUAUCAAAUGACAGUUGUUAGUGAAUUAUAAGUGUGAUUUUUAUAUGUAUUACAGGUUAAAGUGCUAAUGAAACAGAGAAAACUCUGCCGAAAAUUUUGGUUUAGAAAUCUCACAUUUAUUUUAAUCACUUGAU